RNAcentral lists this ribosomal RNA (242 nucleotides) under uncultured Actinomycetales bacterium. Its description in RNAcentral is "partial 16S ribosomal RNA". It matches the Rfam family "Bacterial small subunit ribosomal RNA", at positions 89 to 334 of the family's 1533-position model. Lineage: Bacteria; Bacillati; Actinomycetota; Actinomycetes; Actinomycetales. The record is from RNAcentral.
ACUCGAGUGGCGAACGGGUGAGUAACACGUGGGUGAUCUGCCCUGCACUUCGGGAUAAGCUUGGAAAACUGGGUCUAAUACCGGAUAGGAGCCAUCUUUAGUGUGGUGGUUGGAAAGUUUUUUCGGUGUAGGAUGAGCUCGCGGCCUAUCAGCUUGUUGGUGGGGUAAUGGCCUACCAAGGCGGCGACGGGUAGCCGGCCUGAGAGGGUGUACGGCCACAUUGGGACUGGGAUACGGCCCAG